GAUGAACGCUGGCGGCGUGCCUAAUACAUGCAAGUCGAGCGAACAGACGAGGAGCUUGCUCCUUUGACGUUAGCGGCGGACGGGUGAGUAACACGUAGGUAACCUACCUAUAAGACUGGGAUAACUUCGGGAAACCGGAGCUAAUACCGGAUAAUAUUUUGAACCGCAUGGUUCGAUAGUGAAAGAUGGCUUUGCUAUCACUUAUAGAUGGACCUGCGCCGUAUUAGCUAGUUGGUAAGGUAACGGCUUACCAAGGCAACGAUGCGUAGCCGACCUGAGAGGGUGAUCGGCCACACUGGAACUGAGACACGGUCCAGACUCCUACGGGAGGCAGCAGUAGGGAAUCUUCCGCAAUGGGCGAAAGCCUGACGGAGCAACGCCGCGUGAGUGAUGAAGGUCUUCGGAUCGUAAAACUCUGUUAUUAGGGAAGAACAAACGUGUAAGUAACUGUGCACGUCUUGACGGUACCUAAUCAGAAAGCCACGGCUAACUACGUG
RNAcentral lists this ribosomal RNA (497 nucleotides) under uncultured bacterium. RNAcentral's name for it is "partial 16S ribosomal RNA". It matches the Rfam family "Bacterial small subunit ribosomal RNA", at positions 28 to 507 of the family's 1533-position model. The record is from RNAcentral.